This 253-nucleotide ribosomal RNA is filed under the name uncultured bacterium. Its description in RNAcentral is "partial 16S ribosomal RNA". It matches the Rfam family "Bacterial small subunit ribosomal RNA", at positions 524 to 776 of the family's 1533-position model. The record is from RNAcentral.
UACGUAGGGUGCAAGCGUUAAUCGGAAUUACUGGGCGUAAAGCGUGCGCAGGCGGUCCGGAAAGAAAGAUGUGAAAUCCCAGAGCUCAACCUUGGAACUGCAUUUUAAACUACCGGGCUAGAGUGUGUCAGAGGGGGGUGGAAUUCCGCGUGUAGCAGUGAAAUGCGUAGAUAUGCGGAGGAACACCGAUGGCGAAGGCAGCCUCCUGGGAUAACACUGACGCUCAGGCACGAAAGCGUGGGGAGCAAACAGG